UGUUCACAUGGAAGUCGUUGUUGGGCAGUGACUAUAAAGAGUGUGUGUGAUUCCCAGCUGCAUCAGACGCUUCAGUUUAUCAGUCAUGGACAAAAAGUUACUGCUGGCCGUGUUGUGUCUGCAGGUUUUCCUGCUCAUCACCACCUUCACUUCCUCUGAUGCAGCCACUCUGGAGACAGAUGAUCGCAGACAGCUUCCUCAUCAGAGAAGAGCUAGAGGAUGUGAAAGAUGUCCGGAUAGAAGAUAUCCAGGAAGAUUUGACUUUUUGGGAAGGCACCGCAAUCUUAAAAGAGAAGCUUGAAAAGAUCCCACGUCCUGCAGAGAAACUUCAGUGAUCAGUGUGAUGGAAACCAGAAGUACCACUUGAGCUGUCCAUCAAACAAGCUUUGCAGUAACUGCCAUGAUAUGAAAUCUAUAUUACUAAUCGUCUGUCUCACAGAACAAAUACUUUUUUUUGUAUUAAUGCAAAAUAAAAAAAAUGAAUCAGA
Long non-coding RNA from Hippoglossus stenolepis (Pacific halibut), 488 nucleotides. RefSeq lists it as uncharacterized. The record is from RefSeq and is a predicted model, not a curated record. The transcript has 3 exons. Lineage: Eukaryota; Metazoa; Chordata; Actinopteri; Pleuronectiformes; Pleuronectidae.